GGAGAUAGCUGGUUCUCUCCGAAAUAGCUUUAGGGCUAGCCUCAAGUGAUGAUUAUUGGAGGUAGAGCACUGUUUGGACGAGGGGCCCCUCUCGGGUUACCGAAUUCAGACAAACUCCGAAUGCCAAUUAAUUUAACUUGGGAGUCAGAACAUGGGUGAUAAGGUCCGUGUUCGAAAGGGAAACAGCCCAGACCACCAGCUAAGGUCCCAAAAUAUAUGUUAAGUGGAAAAGGAUGUGGCGUUGCCCAGACAACUAGGAUGUUGGCUUAGAAGCAGCCAUCAUUUAAAGAGUGCGUAAUAGCUCACUAGUCGAGUGACACUGCGCCGAAAAUGUACCGGGGCUAAACAUAUUACCGAAGCUGUGGAUUGUCCUUUGGACAAUGGUAGGAGAGCGUUCUAAGGGCGUUGAAGCAUGAUCGUAAGGACAUGUGGAGCGCUUAGAAGUGAGAAUGCCGGUGUGAGUAGCGAAAGACGGGUGAGAAUCCCGUCCACCGAUUGACUAAGGUUUCCAGAGGAAGGCUCGUCCGCUCUGGGUUAGUCGGGUCCUAAGCUGAGGCCGACAGGCGUAGGCGAUGGAUAACAGGUUGAUAUUCCUGUACCACCUAUAAUCGUUUUAAUCGAUGGGGGGACGCAGUAGGAUAGGCGA
Molecule: ribosomal RNA, 646 nt
Filed under: Staphylococcus aureus
Lineage: Bacteria; Bacillati; Bacillota; Bacilli; Caryophanales; Staphylococcaceae
Description: partial 23S ribosomal RNA
Rfam family: Bacterial large subunit ribosomal RNA
Source: RNAcentral